Molecule: long non-coding RNA, 1051 nt
Organism: Synchiropus splendidus (mandarinfish)
Lineage: Eukaryota; Metazoa; Chordata; Actinopteri; Syngnathiformes; Callionymidae
Exons: 3
Source: RefSeq, a predicted model, not a curated record
UGCAGUACAUGCACACGCAACAGUGAACCAAGCGACAUACAUUAAUUGGCACGCAGAUGUUCACUGAAAGUGGGUCAAGUGUGGAAACAUCGCUCAUUUACAGGUCGUCCAAAGGUCUCCACGUCAUUUUAUCUGACUUUUUUGAGUGUAUGCUCACUCAUCUACUUCCCCGUCUUCUGGGAACGCUGUUACUCAACGAAGACGUCUUGGGGUUUCUGAUUUGGGGAGACGGAAAUUAGCCACUUGUCUCAUCACAGUUAUAGAUAGGAACAGGAGCUUAUGGAGAACAGACUAGAAAGUCAACCAGCCAACUGUCUAUCAAUCGUUUGACUGGAAUGACCAGUCUUGAAGGAGCUUCACCUGUGUUGCUGACACUCGGGCCUUCAGCAGCAAGUCAAACUUGAAUUAUUAAAUUCAUCUGAGCUAAAUCAGUUUGCGUAUUUGUAAAUACGAUUGCUAAAAUGCCUCUUUUUUAAUGUUCUGACAGUUUUCCAUUUUUACUUCUCAUGCAUUCAUUGUACAUACAUUCAUGAUAUUCCUCACCUAUGGACUGUGGGUCAUGAUCAAAAGAACGAGUCAUUCAAGUCUCUGGUGACUGCCUUAGAGAUAGGGCACGGCCAGCUGGGAGGAGACUGAGGAGUCGACCCAGGACCAGGUGCAGGGAUUAUAUCUCUUCACUGGCCUGGGAGUGUCUCGGGAUCCCCCAGUCGGACCUGGUGGACAUUGCUCGGGAGAAGGGCGUUUGGUGCGACCUUCUAAAGCUGCUGCCCCUGCGACCCGGCAACAAAUAAGUGGAUAGAUACUUAUAUUAUUAUAAGAGAGAAUGUAUUUUGAUAAUUUUUCUGUUAUGUUUCUCUAUAAAUCCACUUCUACUUGGCUGUACAAGCCGCCACACACAGCCCUCCGACCCAAGCGUGAGCACAGCUUCUCCUUCACUGCCCUCCUGCAUUUUCCGUGAGGGGUUGCCACAACAAGUGAGCCUCCUCCACCUUGACCUCGCUCGAUCAGCACACCUGUCCUCAUCUUGUCCUCCUUCAUCAUGUCCAUGAAC